Small nucleolar RNA from Cebus imitator (Panamanian white-faced capuchin), 100 nucleotides. RefSeq annotates it as small nucleolar RNA U13. NCBI's taxonomy places the organism in Eukaryota, Metazoa, Chordata, Mammalia, Primates, Cebidae. The record is from RefSeq and is a predicted model, not a curated record. The transcript has a single exon.
AUCCUUUCAUAGUUCAAAGGCAUGACAUUUUAAGUUUUCACACACACGAGAUGUGCCUCCCUUGAACGUUGUCAUGACAUCAGUAUAUUACCAUCUGACA